GAUGAACGCUGGCGGCGUGCCUAAUACAUGCAAGUCGAGCGAACAGACGAGGAACUUUCUCCUCUGACGUUAGCGGCGGACGGGUGAGUAACACGUGGAUAACCUACCUAUAAGACUGGGAUAACUUCGGGAAACCGGAGCUAAUACCGGAUAAUAUAUUGAACCGCAUGGUUCAAUAGUGAAAGACGGUUUUGCUGUCACUUAUAGAUGGAUCCGCGCCGCAUUAGCUAGUUGGUAAGGUAACGGCUUACCAAGGCGACGAUGCGUAGCCGACCUGAGAGGGUGAUCGGCCACACUGGAACUGAGACACGGUCCAGACUCCUACGGGAGGCAGCAGUAGGGAAUCUUCCGCAAUGGGCGAAAGCCUGACGGAGCAACGCCGCGUGAGUGAUGAAGGUCUUCGGAUCGUAAAACUCUGUUAUUAGGGAAGAACAAAUGAGUAAGUAACUAUGCACGUCUUGACGGUACCUAAUCAGAAAGCCACGGCUAACUACGUG
Molecule: ribosomal RNA, 497 nt
Filed under: uncultured bacterium
Lineage: Bacteria
Description: partial 16S ribosomal RNA
Rfam family: Bacterial small subunit ribosomal RNA
Source: RNAcentral